AAAGGGAAAAUAUUUAUAGCCUGAAGAUGAGCUCGCGUCCGAUUAGCUAGUUGGUGGGGUAAAGGCCUACCAUGGCGACGAUCUGUAGCUGGUCUGAGAGGAUGAUCAGCCACACCGGGACUGAGACACGGCCCGGACUCCUACGGGAGGCAGCAGUGGGGAAUAUUGGACAAUGGGGGCAACCCUGAUCCAGCCAUGCCGCGUGUGUGAAGAAGGCCUUUUGGUUGUAAAGCACUUUAAGCAAUGAAGAAGACUCCAUGGUUAAUACCCAUGGACGAUGACAUUAGCUGCAGAAUAAGCACCGGCUAACUCUGUAUUACCGCG
This 324-nucleotide ribosomal RNA is filed under the name uncultured bacterium. Its description in RNAcentral is "bacterial SSU rRNA". It matches the Rfam family "Bacterial small subunit ribosomal RNA", at positions 196 to 516 of the family's 1533-position model. The record is from RNAcentral.